AACUGAGAAUAGAAAAGUGAUAGCACGGCCCUGGCAAGGGAUGCUGGGAGACUGCUGACUCCAGGUGUACCCUUCUUGGCUGGAAGAAACUGGAACUCGUGGGAGGAAGAGCUGCCUCCCUGCAAGAAGGCUGCAAGGAAAGCAGUGUCCUUGGGGUAGAGUUUCUUCAGGACUUGAAAUGCCAAUGUCACAGCUCAAGAAAUAAUGAUUUUAUUACUUCUUUGGAGAGUGCCCCAGCACUGCCUUCGUUCCCUCUCGAGGUUCAGCGAUUGUACCAGCCAGCCUGUCCCUCCAGCCUUGACCAUGGGCAGGUCUCUGCAUCUCCAUCUCCAUAAUGCCCGGCAGGGUGACAUCGUAAACACUUGCAGAGACUGUUGCUUCCUGGGUCUGGAACCUGGAGCUGGAAACAAAUGCUUGGGGACCUUACUGCACCCCCAAGGGAGAUGUCUGGUAGCCUGGAGUUGGUGUGGCAGGAAAGAAGGCCCUUUGUUAGACUCAUCCUUGCACUCUGGGAGGCAGAGAUGGAGGGACCUGCCAACAUAGAGCCAAACAGUGACUCACCUAUACAGUAAUGUAGUUGACAGCACUUGUGCCUUGUUAUCUCACCAAGUCUUCAGGACAACCUGAAGAGGCAAGCAGGGCAGACAGCACUGUGAGGACACUGGGGCUGAGAGAAACAAAGUGUGUCUCCUGAAGUUACCUGGCUGGAGAGCAUUGAGGCUGGUAUAUGACCUCAGAGCACACAAGGCUAGAUCCAGUGUUUUAGCUAUAUCACCCUGCUUUCUAGGAAAUGGAAAUUUUCCAUACUUAGAGACCAUUCUUGUAAAUUUCAACUGCCAUGACCAUUUCUAUUUAAAACAUUGGUGGGGUGAACCCUUAGUUCUAAGCUUGAAGACCCAGGUCUGGUGUCACCAUGUCCAGAAGCUCUUCUUAAUUUCAACCUCUCAGCUUGGAUUUAGGUACCUUUCCACUGGCAUCUUUACCUCAAUGAUAGCAUUUACUACUUUUUUUGUUUACUUAUGACUUGUUUGCUUAUUUGGUCUCAGCUGCUAAGAUGUGAGUUACUCUGGAUAUGGGUCUUAUUCGUUGGCCUAAAAUAUAGUUGGUGGGCUUUGAACUGAAUGUCUUUGCCUGAAUUCUUUGUCUCUGCAUGGAGUUAGUGUCUCUCUUUCCCUCUUGACAUUUUCAUGUCUCCUACUCCCUACUCUCAGGAAAGGAUCUUACACUCUCCUCACCCUGAGGUAUGAGUGAUUGAGAAGCUGAUGCAGAAUUCUUCCUUGUGGUAUCUGCAUUUUAAUAAUCAAC
RNAcentral lists this long non-coding RNA (1305 nucleotides) under Vulpes vulpes (red fox). RNAcentral's name for it is "lncRNA (ENSVVUG00000016223.1)". The record is from RNAcentral. Lineage: Eukaryota; Metazoa; Chordata; Mammalia; Carnivora; Canidae.